This 119-nucleotide ribosomal RNA is filed under the name Pteropus alecto (black flying fox). The record is from RNAcentral. RNAcentral also lists the same sequence under 1 other name. Lineage: Eukaryota; Metazoa; Chordata; Mammalia; Chiroptera; Pteropodidae.
GUCUAUGGCCAUGCCACCCUGAACAUGCCCAAUCUUGUCUGAUCUUGGAAGCUAAGCAGGGUCGUGCUUGGUUAGUACUUGGAUGGGAGACCACCUAGGAAUACCAGGUGCUGUAGACG